This 114-nucleotide ribosomal RNA is filed under the name Acanthosepion pharaonis. Lineage: Eukaryota; Metazoa; Mollusca; Cephalopoda; Sepiida; Sepiidae. The record is from RNAcentral.
UUACGGUCAUAUCACAUUGAAACACCGGUUCCCGUACGAUCACCAAAGUUAAGCAACGUCGUAUCUGGUCAGUACGCAAAUGGAUGACCGCUUGGGAAUACCAAGUACUGUAAU